This 482-nucleotide ribosomal RNA is filed under the name uncultured bacterium. RNAcentral's name for it is "bacterial SSU rRNA". It matches the Rfam family "Bacterial small subunit ribosomal RNA", at positions 30 to 506 of the family's 1533-position model. The record is from RNAcentral.
UUGAACGCUGGCGGCAUGCCUUACACAUGCAAGUCGAACGGCAGCACGGGGGCAACCCUGGUGGCGAGUGGCGAACGGGUGAGUAAUACAUCGGAACGUGCCCUGAAGUGGGGGAUAACGUAGCGAAAGUUACGCUAAUACCGCAUAUUCUGUGAGCAGGAAAGCAGGGGAUCGCAAGACCUUGCGCUUUAGGAGCGGCCGAUGUCGGAUUAGCUAGUUGGUGAGGUAAAGGCUCACCAAGGCGACGAUCCGUAGCGGGUCUGAGAGGAUGAUCCGCCACACUGGGACUGAGACACGGCCCAGACUCCUACGGGAGGCAGCAGUGGGGAAUUUUGGACAAUGGGCGCAAGCCUGAUCCAGCCAUUCCGCGUGAGUGAAGAAGGCCUUCGGGUUGUAAAGCUCUUUCAGUGGGAACGAAACGGUACAGGCGAAUAACCUGUGCUAAUGACGGUACCCAAAGAAGAAGCACCGGCUAACUACGU